RNAcentral lists this small nucleolar RNA (107 nucleotides) under Gossypium hirsutum (cotton). RNAcentral describes it as "Plant small nucleolar RNA R71". It matches the Rfam family "Plant small nucleolar RNA R71". Rfam says of the family: R71 is a member of the C/D box family of snoRNAs containing the C (UGAUGA) and D (CUGA) box motifs. Multiple nearly identical copies of this snoRNA have been identified in Arabidopsis, and it is thought to function as a 2'-O-ribose methylation guide for 18S ribosomal RNA. Lineage: Eukaryota; Viridiplantae; Streptophyta; Magnoliopsida; Malvales; Malvaceae. The record is from Rfam by way of RNAcentral.
AAGCCAUGGUGAGGGCACCGUCUCAAUAAGUCCUUGUACCUCUCCCAUGCAUCAUAGAACAUUUCUAAAUUGACCUGCACGAAGGAAGAGAUAUCAAUCCUCAACUU